This is a long non-coding RNA of Chiroxiphia lanceolata (lance-tailed manakin), 1911 nucleotides long. RefSeq lists it as uncharacterized. The transcript has 3 exons. Lineage: Eukaryota; Metazoa; Chordata; Aves; Passeriformes; Pipridae. The record is from RefSeq and is a predicted model, not a curated record.
CUUCCCUAGCCUAUUUAUGAGUGUUAUAUGAAGCAUGGUUAAGAUAUAUGACACCUACUGCUUUUCCUUUGCCCACGAAGUCUAUGAUCAUGGGAAAUUAAAUAACUUUGACAGACAACUAAGAGCAGAGAAAGAUGCUAGUAGCUGUUGUGGCACAAACUGAUCAUGAAAUCCCAAACCUGAAAAUCCAAGACUUGUUUACCGAAUAGUAGGUCUCAGUUCUUGCUCCUUCUCUUCCAAAUGCCAUUUGCAUCCCUUAUCCUAGCUCAGAAAACUGCUGGUUUCUGCUCAGUUACUCCUAGUUGCCAUGCAAGAGCAUCAUGCAUCACACUGGGGAUGGGCAAUCUUUUUAAGGAGGAUCUGGGAGCACAUGGUUGCAGACGCUAAAGGAUUUUUUCUGUUUUGAGGUAUUGGCCAAGAAGACCCGAUAUAGGCAGCCCUUUCCUGGGUUUCCAGUCUGUACAUGCCUUCCUAGGCACCUCAAGGCUGUAAUUGUCGUGCUCAUGGGGAACGGAUUGAGCAUGAAACCUAACAGCAGGAUACAAAUGGUGGCAUUGCAGGUCUUUUGCAAGCCUUGCUGAAAGCUUUUUUGAAUAUUUGAUCUGGGGAAACUUCAACAUUUAAAAGGCAUUAUCUUGUGAAAAACAAUGGGUUUGUUACAGUUUCCUUCAAAGGCCUCAGUCCUUAAGUUCACUUAAUUGUCAGUUUGUUGCAAAUCAAGCUUCCUCAACUAUUACUCCAUCAAAAUCCUGCCAGAAGCAUCCUAUUUCUCUUACUCAGGCCAAAUGCUUUACUGCCCCAGUCUCAACUUCACCAGCCCCAGGCCUUUUCCAGUCUAAGUCCCAAGCCCUCCUCCUGGGCCAGCACUUGGAGAUCUCUCAAAAUGUCUUGUAUUCCUGAAUUGUUUUGCACAAGCUACACACUGGCUUCUCUGGAUGCUGGAGAGGACAAAUCUGUCUCACAGCAAGCUUCUGAUGCUUUAGCCUCACAGGGUCACCAUCACAAAAAGAAUAUGAAGCUACUCCAGCACAGACAGCAAGUCCUGAGAAAAUUUAGUUCUGCCGCAGCUUUGUGUUUAGCUCAGUCGACUUCUCUGAUGUAUAUGUACUGUGGUGGCUGAGCAAACUUCUGGUGCUAAUAGCCCCAUACCUUUCUGGAACUUAAUUUAGGAAGGCACCCACUGACCUUGGUCGUCCUAGGUACAGUGGCCUGUUCUGAUCAGUAGCAAGCCAAUGGUAAUGGGCUCUUUGCCCAAUUGCUCUUGCCACAUGGUCGUUGCGAUCACAUCCUGUCUUUUCACUACAGAUGGGUUCAUACUUUGAAAACUCUGCUUUUCAUUCUUCAAGCAUUUAUUACACAAUCAAAUUAAUCUCUGGUACUACUUCUUGAUCUAUAAAAGUCAUGUCUACAAAUUUUAGAAGUGUAAUUGGAGAUGGAGCAUGUUUUCCCACUAGGGAAAAUCCCAUUAGGGUUUACUUAUAUACUCAAAGUAGCUUCAGAAAUUUUUAGAGAACUUUACUUUUAAGGUAGAAAACAUCUCCAUAACUUGGCAGAACACACAUCUCAAGGAAGGGUUUAAAGGGAGAUGAUAGCAUUGCUGUAGAUUUUUUUAUGGACAGAUGCAGAAUGAAGAAAAGUCUCAUCCAUAAAUAACUCCCAGGCUUCAUGCAGUAGAAAUAUUACCACUUUUUCAGGUAAAACCAUAUUCAACAUAAAAAUUAUGCCUUGUCAUUUAUUCAGACAAUCUGAUUUAUAGGGACUGCUGUGUUCUGAUCAUGCAAUUGUUCUGAUUGCAUCCUUAUAUUCUCCAUAUAUUGCUCACAGUAUCUCACUUUGUGGCAAUAAAACCUUGGUGUGCAGCACUUUUAUCAGGCUUCCCCUCAUUUAUUGGGUAAAAGUUGAUUAAACCUA